GAAUAAGGUUGGAACACCAAGAACUGCUAAUUACUUGCCCCCGCGGUUCAAUUCCGCGGCUUCUUCGA
Molecule: transfer RNA, 68 nt
Filed under: Bombina variegata scabra
Lineage: Eukaryota; Metazoa; Chordata; Amphibia; Anura; Bombinatoridae
Description: tRNA-Ser
Source: RNAcentral